UUAGGUUUUUUUCUAUUUAUAGGAUUUGGACCAGUACAUUGCAAUGAUUUUCUGGAUAUUUAUAAAGACGGAUCUGGUCUGACCUCAUUUAGAUGUUUGUAUUUGCCCAAACCCAUGAUUCCCAUGAGCUUGUGAUGUAUAAGCUCAAAAUCCUACGAGAUUCAUGGGUUAGACCAAGACAAUCAAGUCAAAUUGAAUUAGACUCA
Molecule: long non-coding RNA, 206 nt
Filed under: Elaeis guineensis (African oil palm)
Lineage: Eukaryota; Viridiplantae; Streptophyta; Magnoliopsida; Arecales; Arecaceae
Description: long non-coding RNA (EGUI_LNC028730)
Source: RNAcentral